RNAcentral lists this ribosomal RNA (301 nucleotides) under uncultured bacterium. RNAcentral's name for it is "partial 16S ribosomal RNA". It matches the Rfam family "Bacterial small subunit ribosomal RNA", at positions 509 to 807 of the family's 1533-position model. The record is from RNAcentral.
CAGUAGCCACGGUAAGACAGAGGAUGCAAGCGUUAUCCGGAAUGAUUGGGCGUAAAGCGCGCGUAGGUGGUUUGUUAAGUUGGAUGUGAAAGCCCCGGGCUCAACCUGGGAACUGCAUCCAAAACUGGCAAGCUAGAGUACGGUAGAGGGUGGUGGAAUUUCCUGUGUAGCGGUGAAAUGCGUAGAUAUAGGAAGGAACACCAGUGGCGAAGGCGACCACCUGGACUGAUACUGACACUGAGGUGCGAAAGCGUGGGGAGCAAACAGGAUUAGAUACCCCGGUAGUCCCUGUCUCUUAUAC